RNAcentral lists this ribosomal RNA (360 nucleotides) under Triticum aestivum (bread wheat). RNAcentral's name for it is "partial small subunit ribosomal RNA". The record is from RNAcentral. Lineage: Eukaryota; Viridiplantae; Streptophyta; Magnoliopsida; Poales; Poaceae.
AUGACCCCGGCGGAGACCCUGAUCACUGUCGCCAUCGCUGUCUCGACAUGCCGGACCCCGUCACCGGACCGCCGCCGUCCUCCUCAACCUCCUCCUCACGGCCCCGUCUUCCUCUCCGUUCCCGGAUCUGGAAGGGCACCCGACGGCGCCACCCGCCGCCCCGACGUCACAAACGCAACUCCGGCCCGUCCACGAGCAUGCUUUAGCACCUCUACAGAGCCCUACCCCGAGACUGCCGCUGAUGCCGCUGUGUUCAACUACGUCGACGACGACCCCUUUUUCUUGUCUAAGCAACCAGAUGACGGAUCCCAGGAGCCAGACGACGCCACUGAUGACUACUACUACCCGGAGGAUGCCUAA